RNAcentral lists this ribosomal RNA (429 nucleotides) under Chloroflexota bacterium. RNAcentral describes it as "Chloroflexi bacterium partial 16S ribosomal RNA". It matches the Rfam family "Bacterial small subunit ribosomal RNA", at positions 355 to 776 of the family's 1533-position model. Lineage: Bacteria; Bacillati; Chloroflexota. The record is from RNAcentral.
UGGGGAAUAUUGCACAAUGGGCGCAAGCCUGAUGCAGCCAUGCCGCGUGGGUGAAGAAGGCCUUCGGGUUGUAAAGCACUUUCAGCGGGGAGGAAGGCGUUAAGGUUAAUAACCUUGGCGAUUGACGUUACCCGCAGAAGAAGCACCGGCUAACUCCGUGCCAGCAGCCGCGGUAAUACGGAGGGUGCAAGCGUUAAUCGGAAUUACUGGGCGUAAAGCGCACGCAGGCGGUCUGUCAAGUCGGAUGUGAAAUCCCCGGGCUCAACCUGGGAACUGCAUUCGAAACUGGCAGGCUAGAGUCUUGUAGAGGGGGGUAGAAUUCCAGGUGUAGCGGUGAAAUGCGUAGAGAUCUGGAGGAAUACCGGUGGCGAAGGCGGCCCCCUGGACAAAGACUGACGCUCAGGUGCGAAAGCGUGGGGAGCAAACAGG